AGAGUUUGAUCCUGGCUCAGGAUGAACGCUGGCGGCGUGCUUAAUACAUGCAAGUCGAACGGAGAGGUAGUAAUACUUCUUAGUGGCGAACGGGUGAGUAACGCGUUGGUGACCUGCCCCGAAGACAGGGAUAACAGCUCGAAAGGGCUGCUAAUACCCGAUGAUGUCUCGUUAGUUAGAGAGGCGAGAAGAAAGUCGCAAGACGCUUUGGGAGGGGCCUGCGUCCCAUCAGCUAGUUGGUAAGGUAAAAGCUUACCAAGGCGAAGACGGGUAGGGGACCUGAGAGGGUGAUCCCCCACAUUGGCACUGAAACACGGGCCAAACACCUACGGGUGGCAGCAGUAGGGAAUAUUGCACAAUGGGCGAAAGCCUGAUGCAGCAACGCCGCGUGCGCGAAGAAGGCCUUCGGGUCGUAAAGCGCUUUUCGGGGAGAAGAGGAAGGACGGUAUCCCCGGAAUAAGGCUCGGCUAACUACGUGCCAGCAGCCGCGGUAAAACGUAGGAGCCAAGCGUUAUCCGAAUUCACUGGGCGUAAAGCGCGUGCAGGCGGCCUGCUAAGUUGGCUGUGAAAUCUCCUGGCUCAACUGGGAGAGGCCGGUCAAUACUGGUAGGCUUGAGGGCGACAGAGGGAGGUGGAAUUCCGGGUGUAGUGGUGAAAUGCGUAGAUAUCCGGAGGAACACCAGAGGCGAAGGCGACCUCCUGGGUCGUACCUGACGCUCAGAUGCGAAAGCUAGGGGAGCAAACGGGAUUAGAAACCCCGGUAGUCCUAGCUGUAAACGAUGUAGACUGGGUGUCGGCGGGGUAAAAGCCGUCGGUGCCGAAGCUAACGCGAUAAGUCUACCGCCUGGGGACUACGGCCGCAAGGUUAAAACUCAAAGGAAUUGAUGG
This 888-nucleotide ribosomal RNA is filed under the name uncultured bacterium. RNAcentral describes it as "bacterial SSU rRNA". It matches the Rfam family "Bacterial small subunit ribosomal RNA", at positions 8 to 916 of the family's 1533-position model. The record is from RNAcentral.